UACGUAGGGGGCUAGCGUUGUCCGGAAUCAUUGGGCGUAAAGAGCGCGUAGGCGGCCCGGUAAGUCCGCUGUAAAAGUCACAGGCUCAACCUGUGAAUGUCAGUGGAUACUGCCGGGCUAGAGUCCGGAAGAGGCGAGUGGAAUUCCUGGUGUAGCGGUGGAAUGCGCAGAUAUCAGGAGGAACACCAACGGCGAAGGCAGCUCGCUGGGACGGUACUGACGCUGAGGCGCGAAAGCGUGGGGAGCAAACAGG
This 253-nucleotide ribosomal RNA is filed under the name uncultured bacterium. RNAcentral's name for it is "partial 16S ribosomal RNA". It matches the Rfam family "Bacterial small subunit ribosomal RNA", at positions 524 to 776 of the family's 1533-position model. The record is from RNAcentral.